CAGGCCGGGGCAACCAACGAAAUCCGAGAAGAGCGCUUGGGGGCGUGUCCGCCUGUUUCAGCCUUUGGGACGUUGGUGGGAGCUAAAAUCAGUCAUUUUUCUGUGAAGGCCUGAAGAAGAAAAGAGAGGCAGUAACUGAGCAAUAAUAUGCUGUGUGAGUCUCCUGCUCUGCUGCCCAUUACCUGUGUCACCUCCGCAAGCUACUGCUGAACCUCAAGGAACCCAUCUCCUCAUCAGGGAAAAAAAAAAAAAAAAAGCUUUAUGUAGGUAGGCACCUCAUAAUGUUAAAGGAUCUCCUGUCUCUUUAUCAUUUAAAACUUUGGAGGCUCACUCCUGUAAUCCAGCAUUUUGGGAGGCCAAGGCAGGAGAAUCCCUUGA
Long non-coding RNA from Cercocebus atys (sooty mangabey), 378 nucleotides. RefSeq lists it as uncharacterized. The record is from RefSeq and is a predicted model, not a curated record. NCBI's taxonomy places the organism in Eukaryota, Metazoa, Chordata, Mammalia, Primates, Cercopithecidae. The transcript has 3 exons.